ACGCACGCUGGCGGCGUGCUUAACCCCUGCAAGUCGCACGGAAAGGCCCUGCUUUUGUGGGGUGCUCGAGUGGCGAACGGGUGAGUAACACGUGAGUAACCUGCCCUUGACUUUGGGAUAACUUCAGGAAACUGGGGCUAAUACCGGAUAGGAGCUCCUGCUGCAUGGUGGGGGUUGGAAAGUUUCGGCGGUUGGGGAUGGACUCGCGGCUUAUCAGCUUGUUGGUGGGGUAGUGGCUUACCAAGGCUUUGACGGGUAGCCGGCCUGAGAGGGUGACCGGCGCCAUGGGGACUGAGAGAGGCCCCAGACGCCAAGGGGGGGAGGGGGGGGGAAUUAUGGCAAAGGGGGGGGGAGCCGGAGCCGGCAGCCCCGGGGGGGGAAGGGCGGCCUUGGGUUUUUAACCCGUUUCCCCCGGAGACAAGGCGGGAGUGAGGGUAGGGGAAAAAGAAGCCCCGGCAAACUGCGGC
This 467-nucleotide ribosomal RNA is filed under the name uncultured bacterium. Its description in RNAcentral is "partial 16S ribosomal RNA". It matches the Rfam family "Bacterial small subunit ribosomal RNA", at positions 29 to 508 of the family's 1533-position model. The record is from RNAcentral.